Molecule: long non-coding RNA, 405 nt
Filed under: Rhinopithecus bieti (black snub-nosed monkey)
Lineage: Eukaryota; Metazoa; Chordata; Mammalia; Primates; Cercopithecidae
Description: lncRNA (ENSRBIG00000046546.1)
Source: RNAcentral
AUCUUAAAAUUGAACCCACCCCUAUCCCUCUUCCUUUCUCCCUCCUCUAAAGGAAUCAAAUGGAAUGGAAGGAUUGAGGCUGAAUGUCUCCCAUUGCAAAUUGGGCAAAGGCUCUAGAAGCUGGAGUUCGAAGCUGUUCUCUGAAGAGCUGUCACUGACAGAGGAAAAUACAGCCGUGCAAAGAAAACUCUUUCCUUCCAUACAUGGACUUAAAACAUCUGAUUUGGUAGCUUCUCUUAGACACAAUCUCAGUCCCUUCCCUUUCAUGUAUGCACUCUUUUCUCCAGUAUUACACAAGUUCUUUGACCUAGAGGUUUUCUGAAUAGACACAUGGAGAAGAGCAACAAGAUAAAAUUACGAUAGGGCAAAAUAAGCACAUUCAAACCAGAAUUUUGACAUGUGAAU